GACGAACGCUGGCGGCGUGCUUAACACAUGCAAGUCGAACGGAAAGGCCCUGCUUUUGUGGGGUGCUCGAGUGGCGAACGUGUGAGUAACACGUGAGUAACCUGCCCUUGACUUUGGGAUAACUUCAGGAAACUGGGGCUAAUACCGGAUAGGAGCUCCUGCUGCAUGGUGGGGGUUGGAAAGUUUCGGCGGUUGGGGAUGGACUCGCGGCUUAUCAGCUUGUUGGUGGGGUAGUGGCUUACCAAGGCUUUGACGGGUAGCCGGCCUGAGAGGGUGACCGGCCACAUUGGGACUGAGAUACGGCCCAGACUCCUACGGGAGGCAGCAGUGGGGAAUAUUGCACAAUGGGCGGAAGCCUGAUGCAGCAACGCCGCGUGCGGGAUGACGGCCUUCGGGCUGUAAACCGCUUUCGCCUGUGACGAAGCGUGAGUGACGGUAAUGGGUAAAGAAGCACCGGCUAACUACGUG
Molecule: ribosomal RNA, 468 nt
Filed under: uncultured bacterium
Lineage: Bacteria
Description: partial 16S ribosomal RNA
Rfam family: Bacterial small subunit ribosomal RNA
Source: RNAcentral